GUUAAACGGCCGCGGUAUUUUGACCGUGCAAAGGUAGCGCAAUCACUUGUCUUUUAAAUGAAGACCUGUAUGAAUGGUGGAACGAGGGCUUAACUGUCUCCCCCUUCUAGUCAAUGAAAUUGAUCUACCCGUGCAGAAGCGGGUAUAAUAAUACAAGACGAGAAGACCCUUUGGAGCUUAAGACAAAAAACCAACUAUGUCAAAAGUCCUAAAAAAGACUAAACUAAAUAGUACUGGUUUUAACCUUCGGUUGGGGUGACCACGGGAGAAAACAAAGCUCCCAUGCGGACUGGGGUAAUCCCCUAAAACUAAGAGAGACAUCUCUAAGACGCAGAACAUCUGACCAUAAAGAUCCGGCUACAUGCCGACCAACGGACCAAGUUACCCUAGGGAUAACAGCGCAAUCCCCUUCCAGAGUCCAUAUCGACAAGGGGGUUU
This 438-nucleotide ribosomal RNA is filed under the name Aphanotorulus emarginatus. Its description in RNAcentral is "partial 16S rRNA". It matches the Rfam family "Bacterial large subunit ribosomal RNA", at positions 1922 to 2519 of the family's 2925-position model. The record is from RNAcentral. Lineage: Eukaryota; Metazoa; Chordata; Actinopteri; Siluriformes; Loricariidae.